UUAUAAGAAGAGAUUAAGACACAGGAAUGACCAUGUGAAGACACAGGGAGAAGAGGGUCACCUACAAAUCAAAGAGGCCUCAAAAGAAACUAGCCCUGCUGACACUGUGAUCUUGGAUUUCUAGCCUCCAGAACUGCCUAUAACCAGUGCUCAGAUGAAGAACCAGAACACUACCAGCCCCUCGAAGUCCCCUCAGACCAACUUCCCCACCAAGGAUGCUUCCUAAGGAGAGAGAAUGCAAAAGAUCCCAGCAUUCCUCUGCAUUCUCCAAGCCCAGAUCUCUCCAGCAGCUGUCCUGGAACCAAGGCAAGGAGCUGAGAUGCCUCCACCCAGCGAUGGAAGUGGUGUGCCAUGCUGGGGUUGUGUACGCCGUGCCCUGCACCCUCCUUUUCUCCAAGAAUAACAGAAAAAAAGUCAACUGAGUUAGGCAGCAUAAAUUAGAAAUGAGAGGUUCUAAUCUAAAGGCCCUUUUUACUGGUGCAUAGAAAUAUAAUGACGAAUUAAAAAACCCUCCAAGGCAUAUUUUGCACAUGACUGCUAAGAAUUGAAAAGAACAAUAAUAAUAGCUGAUGGGAGUAUAAAUUGGCAUAAUCUUUGGGGGGUUGCUGUCAAUAAGGAUCAAACACUACAGAAAGUGUGUAUCUUUUACUCAGAAUUGCCACUUCUAGGAAUUUUCCUAAGGAAAUGAUUCAAGAUGUGUGUGAAGAUACAUGCAAGAUGUUUAAAUCGGCAUUGUUUACAAAAGCAAAAAGUUAGAACCCUAAUUUAUCCAGUAAUAAGGGAUUACUUACAUACUAACAGGUAAGUCUGAGAAACAGAGUGUAGCCACAGAACAUGAUGAAACAGAUGUUCUCAGCCCCCCUUGUGCUUCGGACCACAUGGGGGAUGUAAAGAAAUAUAAAAUAUAAAAACCUGGCCCCUGCCUGACAGAUUUGGAUUUAUUUGCUUUAGAGAGGAGCGCUGUUCCCUUUUCAUUUUUUUUCCUUUGAGGUGGGUAACUUGAUAUGAGUCAUUUUGCACCCAUGUGAGUAAAAUCGGUCUUCCUUAUUUAUGAAUUCAGCAUUUAUAAACUUGCUUACUUGCUAAAAUUUAUGUGUAACCCCCAAAUUAAUACUUGUCAUGCUUUCGUGGUCAUUGGUUGACACAUACAGAGUGUCAAAAAAUUUGAAUCGCCCAACAUGCACAUUCCCAGCUGAGGUCGAAGAAGGUGACAGUCAGCCUUCUUGUUCCAGCUCCUUUUGCAGUCUAUUUAGGGCCAUGUUUUUCACAUUUUUGUGCUUUGUGUUGAUGAUUCCACUGUUUAAAAUGGGCCCCAAGAGUAGUGCUGAAGUGCUGUCUAGGUUGUGAUGUGUCUGAAGGAGAAAGUAUGUGUUUUAAAAUAAACUUCAUCCAGGCAUAAGUGAUAGAGCUGUUGGCUGAGAGUUCGAUACUAAUGAAUCAAAAAAAAUAUAUUAAAUAAGGUGCCUUUGAACAGAAACACACAUAAAACCAAGUUAUGUAUUUGAUCGGCUGACAGAAAUAUCAACCUGCAAGAGGCUUGCAGGAACCUAACCCUGUAUUUCCCCCAGGAAUGAUGGUUCAGGACUCAUGAAUUCACGGUUCUCAGUGACAUUACGACACAUAAUUACCGUGAAUAACAAGAGUUACUUGAGAAUGCCCAUUUCCCCACCUGUUUGCUCACACUCGAAGCAACUUUUUCAUCUCUGGUCUUUGCCAGUUUUAUAGGCGAAAAUGAUAUCUCAUUGCAAAUUUAAUUCAAACUCCUUUAAUAAGGAGUGAGGUUGAACAUCUUUUCAUAAGUGUAAGAAUGACCUGUAUUUCCUUUUAUGAGAACUUUUUGACCAUUUUUCG
Long non-coding RNA from Pteropus alecto (black flying fox), 1851 nucleotides. RefSeq lists it as uncharacterized. The transcript has 3 exons. NCBI's taxonomy places the organism in Eukaryota, Metazoa, Chordata, Mammalia, Chiroptera, Pteropodidae. The record is from RefSeq and is a predicted model, not a curated record.